AGUGAACGCUGGCGGUAGGCCUAACACAUGCAAGUCGAACGGCAGCACAGUAAGAGCUUGCUCUUACGGGUGGCGAGUGGCGGACGGGUGAGGAAUACAUCGGAAUCUACUUUUUCGUGGGGGAUAACGUAGGGAAACUUACGCUAAUACCGCAUACGACCUACGGGUGAAAGCAGGGGAUCUUCGGACCUUGCGCGAUUGAAUGAGCCGAUGUCGGAUUAGCUAGUUGGCGGGGUAAUGGCCCACCAAGGCGGCGAUCCGUAGCUGGUCUGAGAGGAUGAUCAGCCACACUGGAAGUGAGACACGGUCCAGACUCCUACGGGAGGCAGCAGUGGGGAAUAUUGGACAAUGGGCGCAAGCCUGAUCCAGCCAUACCGCGUGGGUGAAGAAGGCCUUCGGGUUGUAAAGCCCUUUUGUUGGGAAAGAAAAGCAGCAGGUUAAUACCCCGCUGUUCUGACGGUACCCAAAGAAUAAGCACCGGCUAACUUCGUG
RNAcentral lists this ribosomal RNA (492 nucleotides) under uncultured bacterium. RNAcentral's name for it is "partial 16S ribosomal RNA". It matches the Rfam family "Bacterial small subunit ribosomal RNA", at positions 29 to 507 of the family's 1533-position model. The record is from RNAcentral.